This 253-nucleotide ribosomal RNA is filed under the name uncultured bacterium. RNAcentral's name for it is "partial 16S ribosomal RNA". It matches the Rfam family "Bacterial small subunit ribosomal RNA", at positions 524 to 776 of the family's 1533-position model. The record is from RNAcentral.
UACGUAGGGUGCGAGCGUUAAUCGGAAUUACUGGGCGUAAAGCGUGCGCAGGCGGUUCUCCAAGUCCGUUGUGAAAUCCCCGGGCUCAACCUGGGAACUGCAUUUGUGACUGUAGAGCUGGAGUACGGCAGAGGGGGAUGGAAUUCCGCGUGUAGCAGUGAAAUGCGUAGAUAUGCGGAGGAACACCGAUGGCGAAGGCAAUCCCCUGGGCCUGUACUGACGCUCAUGCACGAAAGCGUGGGGAGCAAACAGG